This 469-nucleotide ribosomal RNA is filed under the name uncultured bacterium. RNAcentral describes it as "partial 16S ribosomal RNA". It matches the Rfam family "Bacterial small subunit ribosomal RNA", at positions 28 to 508 of the family's 1533-position model. The record is from RNAcentral.
GACGAACGCUGGCGGCGUGCUUAACACAUGCAAGUCGAACGGAAAGGCCCUGCUUUUGUGGGGUGCUCGAGUGGCGAACGGGUGAGUAACACGUGAGUAACCUGCCCUUGACUUUGGGAUAACUUCAGGAAACUGGGGCUAAUACCGGAUAGGAGCUCCUGCUGCAUGGUGGGGGUUGGAAAGUUUCGGCGGUUGGGGAUGGACUCGCGGCUUAUCAGCUUGUUGGUGGGGUAGUGGCUUACCAAGGCUUUGACGGGUAGCCGGCCUGAGAGGGUGACCGGCCACAUUGGGACUGAGAUACGGCCCAGACUCCUACGGGAGGCAGCAGUGGGGAAUAUUGCACAAUGGGCGGAAGCCGGAUGCAGCAACGCCGCGGGCGGGAUGACGGCCUUCGGGUUGGAAACCGCUUUCGCCUGUGACGAAGCGUGAGUGACGGUAAUGGGUAAAGAAGCACCGGCUAACUACGUGC